This 71-nucleotide transfer RNA is filed under the name Ovis aries (sheep). It matches the Rfam family "tRNA". Rfam says of the family: Transfer RNA (tRNA) molecules are approximately 80 nucleotides in length. Their secondary structure includes four short double-helical elements and three loops (D, anti-codon, and T loops). Lineage: Eukaryota; Metazoa; Chordata; Mammalia; Artiodactyla; Bovidae. The record is from Rfam by way of RNAcentral.
CCCCCAGUGGCUCAGCGGUAAAGAACCCGCCUGCAAUGCAGGAGACCCAGGUUCAAUCCCUGGAUGGGGAA